This 149-nucleotide unclassified non-coding RNA is filed under the name soil metagenome. Its description in RNAcentral is "partial internal transcribed spacer 1". The record is from RNAcentral.
UAAUAAGUGUUUUAUGGCACUUUUUAAAUCCAUAUCCACCUUGUGUGCAAUGUCAGUCGAUUCUUUCUUCAUAGGAGAUCGACCAAACAUCAACCUUAUUCUAUUAACUCUUUGUCUGAAAACUAUUAUGAAUAAACUAAUUCAAAAUA